This 739-nucleotide ribosomal RNA is filed under the name Lactiplantibacillus pentosus. RNAcentral's name for it is "bacterial SSU rRNA". It matches the Rfam family "Bacterial small subunit ribosomal RNA", at positions 59 to 764 of the family's 1533-position model. The record is from RNAcentral. Lineage: Bacteria; Bacillati; Bacillota; Bacilli; Lactobacillales; Lactobacillaceae.
CAGUCGACGAACUCUGGUAUUGAUUGGUGCUUGCAUCAUGAUUUACAUUUGAGUGAGUGGCGAACUGGUGAGUAACACGUGGGAAACCUGCCCAGAAGCGGGGGAUAACACCUGGAAACAGAUGCUAAUACCGCAUAACAACUUGGACCGCAUGGUCCGAGUUUGAAAGAUGGCUUCGGCUAUCACUUUUGGAUGGUCCCGCGGCGUAUUAGCUAGAUGGUGGGGUAACGGCUCACCAUGGCAAUGAUACGUAGCCGACCUGAGAGGGUAAUCGGCCACAUUGGGACUGAGACACGGCCCAAACUCCUACGGGAGGCAGCAGUAGGGAAUCUUCCACAAUGGACGAAAGUCUGAUGGAGCAACGCCGCGUGAGUGAAGAAGGGUUUCGGCUCGUAAAACUCUGUUGUUAAAGAAGAACAUAUCUGAGAGUAACUGUUCAGGUAUUGACGGUAUUUAACCAGAAAGCCACGGCUAACUACGUGCCAGCAGCCGCGGUAAUACGUAGGUGGCAAGCGUUGUCCGGAUUUAUUGGGCGUAAAGCGAGCGCAGGCGGUUUUUUAAGUCUGAUGUGAAAGCCUUCGGCUCAACCGAAGAAGUGCAUCGGAAACUGGGAAACUUGAGUGCAGAAGAGGACAGUGGAACUCCAUGUGUAGCGGUGAAAUGCGUAGAUAUAUGGAAGAACACCAGUGGCGAAGGCGGCUGUCUGGUCUGUAACUGACGCUGAGGCUCGAAAGUAUGG